This 538-nucleotide ribosomal RNA is filed under the name uncultured bacterium. RNAcentral's name for it is "bacterial SSU rRNA". It matches the Rfam family "Bacterial small subunit ribosomal RNA", at positions 777 to 1320 of the family's 1533-position model. The record is from RNAcentral.
AAUAGAUACCCAGGUAGUCCACGCCGUAAACGAUGAAUACUAGGUGUAGGGGUUGUCAUGACCUCUGUGCCGCCGCUAACGCAUUAAGUAUUCCGCCUGGGGAGUACGGUCGCAAGAUUAAAACUCAAAGGAAUUGACGGGGCCCGCACAAGCAGCGGAGCAUGUGGUUUAAUUCGAAGCAACGCGAAGAACCUUACCUAGACUUGACAUCUCCUGAAUUACCCUUAAUCGGGGAAGCCCUUCGGGGCAGGAAGACAGGUGGUGCAUGGUUGUCGUCAGCUCGUGUCGUGAGAUGUUGGGUUAAGUCCCGCAACGAGCGCAACCCUUAUUGUUAGUUGCUACCAUUUAGUUGAGCACUCUAGCGAGACUGCCCGGGUUAACCGGGAGGAAGGUGGGGAUGACGUCAAAUCAUCAUGCCCCUUAUGUCUAGGGCUACACACGUGCUACAAUGGCUGGUACAGAGAGAUGCUAAACCGCGAGGUGGAGCCAAACUUCAAAACCAGUCUCAGUUCGGAUUGUAGGCUGAAACUCGCCUACA